UACCUGGCUCAGGAUGAACGCUGGCGGCGUGCUUAACACAUGCAAGUCGAGCGAAGCACUCUGUCUGAUUCUUCGGAUUGAAGACAGUUUGACUGAGCGGCGGACGGGUGAGUAACGCGUGGGGAACCUGCCUUACACAGGGGGAUAACAGUUAGAAAUGGCUGCUAAUACCGCAUAACCCGCUGGGGUCGCAUGACUCUGACGGAAAAGAUUGUAUCGGUGUAAGAUGGACCCGCGUCUGAUUAGCUGGUUGGUGAGGUAACGGCUCACCAAGGCGACGAUCAGUAGCCGACCUGAGAGGGUGAUCGGCCACAUUGGGACUGAGACACGGCCCAAACUCUUACGGGAGGCAGCAGUGGGGAAUAUUGCACAAUGGGGGAAACCCUGAUGCAGCAACGCCGCGUGAGUGAAGAAGUAUUUCGGUAUGUAAAGCUCUAUCAGCAGGGAAGAAAUUGACAGUACCUGACUAAGAAGCCCCGGCUAACUACGUG
RNAcentral lists this ribosomal RNA (491 nucleotides) under uncultured Lachnospiraceae bacterium. RNAcentral's name for it is "bacterial SSU rRNA". It matches the Rfam family "Bacterial small subunit ribosomal RNA", at positions 16 to 507 of the family's 1533-position model. The record is from RNAcentral. Lineage: Bacteria; Bacillati; Bacillota; Clostridia; Lachnospirales; Lachnospiraceae.